This 348-nucleotide unclassified non-coding RNA is filed under the name soil metagenome. Its description in RNAcentral is "partial contains 5.8S ribosomal RNA, internal transcribed spacer 2, and large subunit ribosomal RNA". The stretch from base 1 to 120 matches the Rfam family "5.8S ribosomal RNA", at positions 35 to 154 of the family's 154-position model. The record is from RNAcentral.
GAUGAAGAACGCAGUGAAAUGCGAUAAGUAAUGCGAAUUGCAGAAUUCCGUGAAUCAUCGAAUCUUUGAACGCACAUUGCGCCCGCUGGUAUUCCGGCGGGCAUGCCUGUUCGAGCGUCAUUUCAACCCUCAAGCCCCCGGGUUUGGUGUUGGGGAUCGGCUCUGCCCUUCUGGGCGGUGCCGCCCCCGAAAUACAUUGGCGGUCUCGCUGCAGCCUCCAUUGCGUAGUAGCUAACACCUCGCAACUGGAACGCGGCGCGGCCAUGCCGUAAAACCCCAACUUCUGAAUGUUGACCUCGGAUCAGGUAGGAAUACCCGCUGAACUUAAGCAUAUCAAUAAGCGGAGGA